Molecule: ribosomal RNA, 415 nt
Filed under: uncultured prokaryote
Description: bacterial SSU rRNA
Rfam family: Bacterial small subunit ribosomal RNA
Source: RNAcentral
GUGUCAGCAGCCGCGGUAAUACGGGGGGUGCGAGCGUUGUUCGGAAUUAUUGGGCGUAAAGAGCGUGUAGGCGGCUGGACAAGUCAGAUGUGAAAGCCCUGGGCUUAACCCAGGAAGUGCAUUUGAAACUGUCCGGCUAGAGUAGGGGAGAGGAAAGUGGAAUUCCUGGUGUAGAGGUGAAAUUCGUAGAUAUCAGGAGGAACACCGGUGGCGAAGGCGACUUUCUGGCCCUAUACUGACGCUGAGACGCGAGAGCGUGGGUAGCAAACAGGAUUAGAUACCCUGGUAGUCCACGCUGUAAACGAUGUUCACUAGGUGUUGGGGGUAUUGACCCCCUCAGUGCCGCAGCUAACGCAUUAAGUGAACCGCCUGGGGAGUACGGUCGCAAGAUUAAAACUUAAAUGAAUUGACGGGG